GCUACCAUCUUCUCCUUCAAAUUGUUCCUCAAGACUCAUUUUUACUACAGUACAUACAAAGCAACAGUGACUGACAUCAACUAGGCAAGUGGAACAGUUUUGCAAGGAGACAAAGAAUGGCUGGAAACAGAAUUUGACUCUACAGCAAGCUAAAGAUCAUAAGUGAAAACAAAACUCUGUACACUGAGCUCUUGAGAUGUUAGAAUAAGAAGAAAUAUGGGCCAAUAUUGAGAAAUUUCAGAAAGGGCUGGUUAUGGCCAUGCUAUGAAUUAUUUUCAUAAUUUGCUGAGUUCUUGUGUAAGAGCUUGAAGACCAAAGUUGCAACACUUCUAUUCAAAGCCUUCAUCACAACAUUGGCCAUAUUUUUAAUUGACAAAGGGAAAUGCUGACAAGUUCACGUGAAGAAAUACACCCACUAUAAACAUUACAAAAAUGCAAGAGACUUCCGGGGCAUAGCAUUAGUCACUUUCCAUAUCAGCAGAGAGUUAGUUUACACUGACUGUUGUGACCUGUAUUAAAAGAUACUCUUAAUAAAGGGAAAAAGUUUUUUACUUACCAUACUAAUGGAUAAUUCC
Long non-coding RNA from Gopherus evgoodei (Goodes thornscrub tortoise), 575 nucleotides. RefSeq lists it as uncharacterized. The transcript has 3 exons. NCBI's taxonomy places the organism in Eukaryota, Metazoa, Chordata, Testudines, Testudinidae. The record is from RefSeq and is a predicted model, not a curated record.